Molecule: ribosomal RNA, 1426 nt
Filed under: uncultured bacterium
Lineage: Bacteria
Description: bacterial SSU rRNA
Rfam family: Bacterial small subunit ribosomal RNA
Source: RNAcentral
GCGGANCUUUCGGGGUCAGCGGCGGACGGGUGAGUAACACGUGGGCAAUCUGCCCGAUACUCUGGGAUAACGCUUGGAAACGAGUGCUAAUACCGGAUGGUCUUCUUGGUCGCAUGGCCGAGAAGGAAAAGACGCGUUCGCGUCGGUGUCGGAUGAGCCCGCGGCGCAUUAGCUAGUUGGUGAGGUAACGGCCCACCAAGGCGACGAUGCGUAGCCGACCUGAGAGGGUGACCGGCCACACUGGGACUGAGACACGGCCCAGACUCCUACGGGAGGCAGCAGUAGGGAAUCUUCCACAAUGGGCGAAAGCCUGAUGGAGCAACGCCGCGUGAGUGAUGAAGGCCUUCGGGUUGUAAAACUCUGUCAUUCGGGACGAACCGGAGUCUGAGGAAAUGCAGACUCUCUGACGGUACCGGAGGAGGAAGCCCCGGCUAACUACGUGCCAGCAGCCGCGGUAAUACGUANGGGGCAAGCGUUGUCCGGAUUCACUGGGCGUAAAGCGCGCGCAGGCGGUGAUGUAAGUCUGAGGUGAAAACCCGAAGCUCAACUUCGGGACUGCCUUGGAUACUGCGUCACUUGAGGAUAGGAGAGGCAAGGGGAAUUCCACGUGUAGCGGUGAAAUGCGUAGAGAUGUGGAGGAACACNCKGUGGCGAAGGCGCCUUGCUGGCCUAUUUCUGACGCUGAGGCGCGAAAGCGUGGGGAGCAAACAGGAUUAGAUACCCUGGUAGUCCACGCUGUAAACGAUGAGUGCUAGGUGUAGGUGGGCUCAUACCCAUCUGUGCCGAAGCUAACGCAUUAAGCACUCCGCCUGGGGAGUACGGUCGCAAGACUGAAACUCAAAGGAAUUGACGGGGGCCCGCACAAGCAGUGGAGCAUGUGGUUUAAUUCGAAGCAACGCGAAGAACCUUACCAGGACUUGACAUCCCAUAGACCAGUCUAGAGAUAGACUUUCCCUUCGGGGCUGUGGUGACAGGUGGUGCAUGGUUGUCGUCAGCUCGUGUCGUGAGAUGUUGGGUUAAGUCCCGCAACGAGCGCAACCCUUACUUUGUGUUGCCAGCAUUCAGUUGGGCACUCACAAGGGACUGCCGCCGAUAAGGCGGAGGAAGGUGGGGAUGACGUCAAAUCAUCAUGCCCCUUAUGUCCUGGGCUACACACGUGCUACAAUGGGCGGUACAACGGGAUGCGAAGCCGCGAGGUGGAGCCAAACCCUGAAAACCGUUCGUAGUUCGGAUUGUAGGCUGCAACUCGCCUACAUGAAGCCGGAAUUGCUAGUAAUCGCGGAUCAUCAUGCCGCGGUGAAUCCGUUCCCGGGCCUUGUACACACCGCCCGUCACACCACGAGAAUGGGCAACACCCGAAGUCGGUGGGGUAACCUUUACGGGAGCUAGCCGCCGAAGGUGGGGCCUGUGAUUGGGGUGAAGUCGU